ACGCGAUGGCUUUCGGUUAUUAUUCGGCGGAGUACUACCCGAAGGUCCACGGACCUUACGAUCCUGUCCAUUUCUACGGCAAGCCGGACUAGGUU
Aedes aegypti (yellow fever mosquito) is the source of this 95-nucleotide non-coding RNA. NCBI's taxonomy places the organism in Eukaryota, Metazoa, Arthropoda, Insecta, Diptera, Culicidae. The record is from Rfam.